UACGUAGGGGGCAAGCGUUGUCCGGAUUUAUUGGGCGUAAAGAGCGUGUAGGCGGCUUUACAGGUCCGUUGUGAAAACUCGAGGCUCAACCUCGAGACGCCGGUGGAAACCGUAAAGCUAGAGUCCGGAAGAGGAGAGUGGAAUUCCUGGUGUAGCGGUGAAAUGCGCAGAUAUCAGGAGGAACACCGAUUGCGAAGGCAGCUCGCUGGGACGUAACUGACGCUGAGACGCGAAAGCGUGGGGAGCAAACAGG
This 253-nucleotide ribosomal RNA is filed under the name uncultured bacterium. Its description in RNAcentral is "partial 16S ribosomal RNA". It matches the Rfam family "Bacterial small subunit ribosomal RNA", at positions 524 to 776 of the family's 1533-position model. The record is from RNAcentral.